AGUGAACGCUGGCGGUAGGCCUAACACGUGCAAGUCGAACGGCAGCACAGUAAGAGCUUGCUCUUACGGGUGGCGAGUGGCGGACGGGUGAGGAAUACAUCGGAAUCUACUUUUUCGUGGGGGAUAACGUAGGGAAACUUACGCUAAUACCGCAUACGACCUACGGGUGAAAGCAGGGGAUCUUCGGACCUUGCGCGAUUGAAUGAGCCGAUGUCGGAUUAGCUAGUUGGCGGGGUAAAGGCCCACCAAGGCGACGAUCCGUAGCUGGUCUGAGAGGAUGAUCAGCCACACUGGAACUGAGACACGGUCCAGACUCCUACGGGGGGCAGCAGUGGGGAAUAUUGGACAAUGGGCGCAAGCCUGAUCCAGCCAUACCGCGUGGGUGAAGAAGGCCUUCGGGUUGUAAAGCCCUUUUGUUGGGAAAGAAAAGCAGCAGGUUAAUACCCCGCUGUUCUGACGGUACCCAAAGAAUAAGCACCGGCUAACUUCGUG
RNAcentral lists this ribosomal RNA (492 nucleotides) under uncultured bacterium. RNAcentral describes it as "partial 16S ribosomal RNA". It matches the Rfam family "Bacterial small subunit ribosomal RNA", at positions 29 to 507 of the family's 1533-position model. The record is from RNAcentral.